RNAcentral lists this ribosomal RNA (1189 nucleotides) under Salmonella enterica. RNAcentral describes it as "partial 23S ribosomal RNA". It matches the Rfam family "Bacterial large subunit ribosomal RNA", at positions 830 to 1915 of the family's 2925-position model. Lineage: Bacteria; Pseudomonadati; Pseudomonadota; Gammaproteobacteria; Enterobacterales; Enterobacteriaceae. RNAcentral also lists the same sequence under 1 other name. The record is from RNAcentral.
CAAUCAAACCGGGAGAUAGCUGGUUCUCCCCGAAAGCUAUUUAGGUAGCGCCUCGUGAAUUCAUCUCCGGGGGUAGAGCACUGUUUCGGCUAGGGGGCCAUCCCGGCUUACCAACCCGAUGCAAACUGCGAAUACCGGAGAAUGUUAUCACGGGAGACACACGGCGGGUGCUAACGUCCGUCGUGAAGAGGGAAACAACCCAGACCGCCAGCUAAGGUCCCAAAGUCAUGGUUAAGUGGGAAACGAUGUGGGAAGGCCCAGACAGCCAGGAUGUUGGCUUAGAAGCAGCCAUCAUUUAAAGAAAGCGUAAUAGCUCACUGGUCGAGUCGGCCUGCGCGGAAGAUGUAACGGGGCUAAACCAUGCACCGAAGCUGCGGCAGCGAACGUAUCACCCAAGACAACUUUACGGAGUUGACGAUUGACGGAGCGAAGCGACGUCAAAGCGUUCAUUAAAGUCGAGUUGGCUUAGGGAUACGUUCGUUGGGUAGGGGAGCGUUCUGUAAGCCUGUGAAGGUGUGUCGUGAGGCAUGCUGGAGGUAUCAGAAGUGCGAAUGCUGACAUAAGUAACGAUAAAGCGGGUGAAAAGCCCGCUCGCCGGAAGACCAAGGGUUCCUGUCCAACGUUAAUCGGGGCAGGGUGAGUCGACCCCUAAGGCGAGGCCGAAAGGCGUAGUCGAUGGGAAACGGGUUAAUAUUCCCGUACUUGGUGUUACUGCGAAGGGGGGACGGAGAAGGCUAUGUUGGCCGGGCGACGGUUGUCCCGGUUUAAGCGUGUAGGUGUGUGUUCCAGGUAAAUCCGGUUCACUUUAACACUGAGGCGUGACGACGAGGCACUACGGUGCUGAAGCAACAAAUGCCCUGCUUCCAGGAAAAGCCUCUAAGCAUCAGGUAACACGAAAUCGUACCCCAAACCGACACAGGUGGUCAGGUAGAGAAUACCAAGGCGCUUGAGAGAACUCGGGUGAAGGAACUAGGCAAAAUGGUGCCGUAACUUCGGGAGAAGGCACGCUGACACGUAGGUGAAGUGAUUUACUCAUGGAGCUGAAGUCAGUCGAAGAUACCAGCUGGCUGCAACUGUUUAUUAAAAACACAGCACUGUGCAAACACGAAAGUGGACGUAUACGGUGUGACGCCUGCCCGGUGCCGGAAGGUUAAUUGAUGGGGUCAGCGUAAGCGAAGCUCCUGAUCGA